Molecule: ribosomal RNA, 253 nt
Filed under: uncultured bacterium
Lineage: Bacteria
Description: partial 16S ribosomal RNA
Rfam family: Bacterial small subunit ribosomal RNA
Source: RNAcentral
UACGUAGGUGGCAAGCGUUGUCCGGAAUUAUUGGGCGUAAAGCGCGCGCAGGCGGUCCUUUAAGUCUGAUGUGAAAGCCCACGGCUCAACCGUGGAGGGUCAUUGGAAACUGGGGGACUUGAGUACAGAAGAGAAGAGUGGAAUUCCACGUGUAGCGGUGAAAUGCGUAGAGAUGUGGAGGAACACCAGUGGCAAAGGCGACUCUUUGGUCUGUAACUGACGCUGAGGCGCGAAAGCGUGGGGAGCAAACAGG